UUUAACCGCAAUUAAGAGGUGUGAAGUUGCAUUUGAACGUUUCAAUGGGUCUUCCUCGGCAAUCAAGUGAUUUUACCUGAGAGAUUCCUUCUCUGUUAUCGGAUGAAACUGUCUGUCGAGAGCAAGUGAUCGUCACUUGUGUGUAAUACGAGUUUUUGACAGGUAAUGCUGCAGGAUUAUUUUGCACGGCACUUGGUAAUCGUCAGAUCAACGGAAAAAUCCAGUGAUUACUUCGGAGCGGUAUCUCUCGAAAUGCCUGCUAAGAUAAAGGGGAGACGCUCAGCUGCACAAGAAUCGGCGGUAAAAGUGGCUGAGAGAAGGCUUUUGAAUAAAAUGACAGAGUGUGGGUUUGAUGGGAAAGAGUUCACAAAAGGAUUAGAUGUUAUAGUAGGCUAACAGCCGCAAAAAUGAAAGGAAAAACACAUAUCAAAAUUCGUUUUAUACACUACAGCUCUUGGGCAAGGGCAUUGGAGAAGCAAGACACUGGACCUGACGGAUGUCAUAACAACUUUCCAGCAGUGGUGCUUUCUUUCUCUCUUACCUAACCAGGUGAAAGCUGAGAUUAGACAGGGCCUAUGCUGUUUCCAUGGAGGAAUUCUGCCAAGCUGUCUUAUCAACACCAUGAUGCUUAGCACGUAGUUCAAAGAUGCCAAUUAUCUCUUCGUUGAAACAAUCAAAUUCCAACUAGCCAAGAGCUCAAGUAGACUGUCAAACCAGGGAUGACAUUGUUGAUUAAUCAUUGUGGUGGUGCUUUGUCCAACCUUGAGUAAUUGAGUAAAGUGAUAAGAUCAGUUCUGCCAUAGGGAACAUUCAGCAGUUUUGGACAGGACUCGGAUAACAGGAAGCAACAAUGAAACUUGACUGUCACCCAGAUCAAGAUUGGAAUGCCAAGUUCAAGCUACAACUAAAGUAUUUACAUAAAACAAGUUCCCUGGAGGUGCUAGAAUUUGCCUGAUGUUAUCUACAUCAGAAAUGAAA
This is a long non-coding RNA of Lingula anatina, 978 nucleotides long. NCBI's taxonomy places the organism in Eukaryota, Metazoa, Brachiopoda, Lingulata, Lingulida, Lingulidae. The record is from RefSeq and is a predicted model, not a curated record.